AUACGGAGGGUGCAAGCGUUAUUCGGAAUCACUGGGCGUAAAGGACGCGUAGGCGGGUUGGCAAGUCAGAUGUGAAAUCCUACAGCUUAACUGUAGAACUGCAUUUGAAACUGCUAACCUAGAGUGUGGGAGGGGGAGAUGGAAUUAGUGGUGUAGGGGUAAAAUCCGUAGAUAUCACUAGGAAUACCGAAAGCGAAGGCGAUCUCCUGGAACAUAACUGACGCUAAGGCGUGAAAGCGUGGGGAGCAAACAGGAUUAGAAACCCUAGUAGUCC
This 274-nucleotide ribosomal RNA is filed under the name uncultured bacterium. RNAcentral describes it as "partial 16S ribosomal RNA". It matches the Rfam family "Bacterial small subunit ribosomal RNA", at positions 523 to 796 of the family's 1533-position model. The record is from RNAcentral.